AGUGUUUAAGCACUUGGCUCUUAACCAAAAGGUUGGUGGUUCAAACCCACCAGCCACUC
This 59-nucleotide transfer RNA is filed under the name Loxodonta africana (African savanna elephant). It matches the Rfam family "tRNA", at positions 14 to 71 of the family's 71-position model. Rfam says of the family: Transfer RNA (tRNA) molecules are approximately 80 nucleotides in length. Their secondary structure includes four short double-helical elements and three loops (D, anti-codon, and T loops). Further hydrogen bonds mediate the characteristic L-shaped molecular structure. tRNAs have two regions of fundamental functional importance: the anti-codon, which is responsible for specific mRNA codon recognition, and the 3' end, to which the tRNAs corresponding amino acid is attached (by aminoacyl-tRNA synthetases). tRNAs cope with the degeneracy of the genetic code in two manners: having more than one tRNA (with a specific anti-codon) for a particular amino acid; and 'wobble' base-pairing, i.e. permitting non-standard base-pairing at the 3rd anti-codon position. The record is from Rfam by way of RNAcentral. Lineage: Eukaryota; Metazoa; Chordata; Mammalia; Proboscidea; Elephantidae.